GCCCUUAUAGCGUAGUGGCAGCGCAUUCCGCUUGUAAAUUUUGAAUUUUCAAGACUGAUGCACACGGAAAGGUCCUGUGUUCAACCCACAGUGGGGGCA
Non-coding RNA from Papiliotrema laurentii, 99 nucleotides. The record is from the annotation of a GenBank genome assembly. Lineage: Eukaryota; Fungi; Basidiomycota; Tremellomycetes; Tremellales; Rhynchogastremaceae.